Molecule: long non-coding RNA, 2713 nt
Organism: Triticum aestivum (bread wheat)
Lineage: Eukaryota; Viridiplantae; Streptophyta; Magnoliopsida; Poales; Poaceae
Exons: 3
Source: RefSeq, a predicted model, not a curated record
GCCGCCACGCCGCCCCGCAAAAAUAGCCCGCAAAAUGCCGUUGGGCUGACCGCCUCGUGCGUAACGGGCCCAAGUGGUCACGCCGCUGAGUCCAGCGGGCUUGCCGCAAUCCCGCAUAUCCCGCAUAAGUCCUAACCUAGCUUCGAACAAAAAACCUAGUGCCUACCCACGAUGGCGGCGGCGGCUGCUGCUUCGCCCACCUGACGCUUCUCCUUCGCCACCUCCUCGACGACGGCCUGCUCCUCGCUGCUGACGCCCUCCACCUCCCGGCCACCCUCGCCUUCGGCGCCACCGCCAAGUCCCCUCCCAAUUUGUGUGCACGCCCCGACAGCCUGCUGCGGAACUUCGACGUCCUCGCCGGGUUCCUUGCGUUCAUGUGAUACACGGUCAGAAGAACUCCUUGUUUAUUGAGCAAUCAUGGUGGUGUCGACAAUGCCAUCUCCACAUCGGGACUGCCCUACUGAAAUCCUCGAUGGAGAUGUUGUCCCUCCACUGCCUCCCUCACAUGCUGAAGCUGUGGUUUCUCCAUCGCUUCCCUCCUUGAUUGGAGCUGUUGUUUCGUCACCUUCCGCUUCAGCAAGGGCUCCUGCAACCUUGCCGCCCCGUUUGCACCCUGAGCCUGCGUGCCACCCCCCACCUCCAGUGCGCCGCCACCCGCCACCACGUUGUUGCGUGCCACCCCCCACCUCCAGUGCGCCGCCUCCAGUGCCCCGCCACCCACCGCCACGCUGCUGCAUGCUGCCAGGCGCGGCGGCGGCGAUCUCCGGCCAGAUCCGGCCGAGGAGGCGAGUAGGGGCCGAAUCCUGUUCUGGGGACGGUGUGGAGACGAUUUAGGAGGCACGGGAGGAGGUCCAGCGGCGGGGUUUUGAACUCCAUGUUCAUGGCGGCGGCGUUCCUCGCCGGUUCCGAGCGAGCGAGCUCCGACAGAUUAUGCGUCUUGCGGCGAUGAUUGUGUUAUCUCUGCAGCGGCAGCGGCGACACACAACUAGCGCCACGCUCCAUAUGUCAGCUUCUCUCAUCCCUCACCCUGGGAUACCCUGAUAUCUCUCUCUCUCUCUCUGUGUGUGUGUGCGCACGCGCGCGUGAGCGAUCUUAAAUUAACUGUUUGCUUGGAGUUUAGGAUCCAAGUACGCCCCUCUCCAUGGUGUUCACUGAUUUCUUAGAGCAACAACGUGUUGUUGGAGUUGCCGAAGCACUAGGUCAAAGGAAAGAUGACGAUGAAGGACACAGAGAGGAGUGUGAGCGGUGAUGGCAGCAAGGUUACCGGCAGGUAUGCAUGUAGGAACUGACUGUACAAUGUUUCUGUGUGAUGCUACUAGUUUUAACGUUUGUACUGUGAUGCCACUGGCAGUUUAAAUAAAUCUGCUAUCAUUUGGGAUGUGAGUUGUCACAACUUGUUGUGCUCUGGUGUUCGGCUCAAAAUUGCUUUUGGGAAUGAUUCCUCUGAAUAGACUACUUAUGCUUGAGAUUUUACUUUCAUUAUUUAUAUUUGUAACUCAAUUUUGGUAUCCUCUCAAAUUAACAAUACUUUUUCUGGAUAUGGUAGUUGAGAAUAGUUAUGGUAUAUAGCGGAGUUAGCCCAUCCUCACCAAUGACUCUUCCUCAUGGAUUUGCUGAACUAGAGUUAGUAAUGGGGGUAUUGUAGACUGUUUUGAAUUAUGGGGGUAUUGCAGACUUUAGAAGCUGAAUUAAAUUUUUGUGCAAUUGAAAAAGGUGUAUACAACUUGAAUUUAUUAGGCAGUAUAGGAGAGAGAUGAAAUUUUAAAGGUGUCAGUCAGAUUUGUGUGUUGUUUUGGGUAGUAUUCAGUUUUGUUUCAUCUUAGAGGCCAAUAAUGCACAUGUGAUAUUAUCUACAUUAUUCAGUUUAUAGGGCUUCCCAUAUUCCAAUGGUUGUAUUUUGCUAAACUGCCCAUCUACUUACUUGAAUUCUCACAAAUAGAAGUGCAGUCAGAAGGUAAAAAGGAUGGUAUGGUAUGUCUCCAUUCACAUGGUACUGAACUGUUAGUGAUGCUUUGUGUUAUUCUGCAGACUUGAAUUUAGUUUCUAUGGUUUUCUUUUAUUGUUCGUAGACGAGAGUAUAGUCUGAAGGGAAAAAUGGUAUGCUCUCAAGGGUGUGCAAGAACAGUGAGAUUUAUAUUACUGAACAUAUUGUUAACAAUUUGUUAUUUUGCAGACUUGCUCUCAGUUUUUAUUCUUGGCAGGUGAUUCUUCAUGAUAAUUUUUCAUAGAGGAACAUUUUUGGUGGCGUCGGGAAUGGGGAUCGGUGGUGCUGGUGUCGGUGGUGCGGUACAAGGUCGGGAUGCGGGGCGGGACGGCUAUCCGUGUGAGGCAGUUGGCGGCGAGGGUUUGUGGCAUCAAGAGGAGCGCCCGCGGCACCUCCAAAUUCAAGGUGUUGGCCGGAAACCACCGAAGAGGGAGGAGAUGAGGUUAGUAUCUCCAGAGGAAAAAAACAAGAGAAGAAGAAUAAGAACGACGCCCAUCUCGGGUUCCAGGUACGAUGGAGCCGGCGGCGAAGGGCAUGGCGCUUGCAAACAUGAUACUGUGAUAGUGGAUGACGCCGAUACCCUCAACUGCGGCAUCUGCUACCUCCCUCUCAAGCACCAGUCUUCCAAGUGCGUACGCUCGUCGUCCAUGCUAGGCCGAUCCAUCACAAGUUUGUGUACCAAUAACACUGGAAUGUCAUUUCUGCUCGGGUGCAAUGUGGCUUCGGUCA